Molecule: ribosomal RNA, 404 nt
Filed under: uncultured bacterium
Lineage: Bacteria
Description: partial 16S ribosomal RNA
Rfam family: Bacterial small subunit ribosomal RNA
Source: RNAcentral
GACGAACGCUGGCGGCGUGCUUAACACAUGCAAGUCGAGCGGAGCGGCGAACGGGUGAGUAACGCGUGAGUAACUGCCCCCCUCUCUGGGAUAACAGUUGGAAACGGCUGCUAAUACCGGAUACAGGGGUCUGGCUCUCGGCCUAUCAGCUUGUUGGUGGGGUGAUGGCCUACCCAGGCGGUGACGGGUAGCCGGCCUGAGAGGGUGACCGGCCACAUGGGUCUGAGAUACGGCCCAGACGCCUACGGGAGGCAGCAGGGGGGGAUAUUGCACAAUGGGCGCAAGCCUGACCCAGCAACGCGCGUGAAGGAAGACGGUCUUCGGAUUGUAAACUUCUUUAGACAGGGACGCGGUACCUGUAGAAUAAGCCACGGCUAACUACGUGCCAGCAGCCGCGGUAAUAC